Cebus imitator (Panamanian white-faced capuchin) is the source of this 1167-nucleotide long non-coding RNA. RefSeq lists it as uncharacterized. Lineage: Eukaryota; Metazoa; Chordata; Mammalia; Primates; Cebidae. The record is from RefSeq and is a predicted model, not a curated record. The transcript has 4 exons.
AGGCAGCUCAGCUCUGUGUGUUUCAGCUUCUCUUCCCCUGGUACACUGAGCUCUGGCCCCAGGCUCAGGCUGCCUGUGCAUGACAGGUAUAAGGCCAGCAUUCUGUGAUUCACCUGGAAUACACAAGUCCCCACUUCUUCCUCAUUUCUGUGCCUCUCUGGAGGGAACCCUGGCAGCCCUUGCCUCAGUUUCUGGGACAAUCCAGGCAGCUCUCCAUCACUGGAGAACACCAGAUGGAAUGGAUGGAGGCAAUUUUGCAGAAAGUGCUUUAAGAGCAGCUUCCUCGGUGGUCUUUCCAGCUGGAAGCAGAGCGUCCAGAAAGCACCGCAUUCUCAGCCCUGUUUCAUCGCCUCAAGAGCUACAGAUGGCUUCCCCAAGCACCUGAAGUCGGUGCUGCUUGCCUGGAUUGGAUAAGCUGCAAGCUGCAGAAACUCUUUUGUCUUUUCACAGUGCAACUCAGACUCCAGUUUCUUUCUGCCUUGAGAGUGAAAGAAAGGAGAGGAUACAAAGUAGGAAAGAGCCAGAAGGCGGAGAAAUUAAUGUUUAAUGCUUGAUACUCCCCGGGCCUGGCCAGCUGCUCAAAAAAGUUGGAUUCUGAUUAGUUCCCAUCAGCAGAAGUAGCCGAUAAAGGAUGGAAAAGCUGAGGUUCAAAAAGCAUUUGUAGAUCCUGGCUGAUGGAUAUAAUGAAGGCGUGAACUAUAAUAGUUGAACAAGGAAAUGAACUUGAACCAAAUUGUGAAGUUCUCUGCAAUGAAUUAUUAAAGCUCUUCUGAAAGGACUUGGAGUGAGCUGCCAGGCUGCAAGGGAUUGAAUCAAAAACCCCCUAACAGUUAAAGUGUCCAUUAGCUUCUCUACACUUAGCAUCCGUCAGAGAAAAGAUGGGCUGGGAGCCCCGGGCGAAUUUCUAACUAGCCUAAUGAGGAGAGAGAUUCUGGGAGCAAAAAAAGUUCAUUUGCUGAAUUUCCAGCAAGAAGUCACUUCAAUAUUGCUUCUAGGAAACACUGACAGGCUUUGUUGGUAAGAAAUCAUUAUGCUGAGAGAGAAAUGGGAUAUUGUUAUAUGAGGUUUUUAAAGAAAAUUCAUUUUGAUAGAUGUCUAACUGUGCAUUCAAUUAAAUUUCCUUCUCUUUCUUAAAAAUAGAUGUCAGGUAAUUGUACUCAAGUUCUG